AACGAACGCUGGCGGCAUGCCUAACACAUGCAAGUCGAACGAGACCUUCGGGUCUAGUGGCGCACGGGUGCGUAACGCGUGGGAACCUGCCCUUAGGUUCGGAAUAACUCCCCGAAAGGGGUGCUAAUACCGGAUAAUUUCUUCGGACCAAAGAUUUAUCGCCUUUGGAUGGGCCCGCGUUGGAUUAGCUAGUUGGUAGGGUAAAAGCCUACCAAGGCGACGAUCCAUAGCUGGUCUGAGAGGAUGAGCAGCCACACUGGGACUGAGACACGGCCCAGACUCCUACGGGAGGCAGCAGUGGGGAAUAUUGGACAAUGGGCGAAAGCCUGAUCCAGCAAUGCCGCGUGAGUGAUGAAGGCCUUAGGGUUGUAAAGCUCUUUUACCCGGGAUGAUAAUGACAGUACCGGGAGAAUAAGCUCCGGCUAACUCCGUG
Molecule: ribosomal RNA, 433 nt
Filed under: uncultured bacterium
Lineage: Bacteria
Description: partial 16S ribosomal RNA
Rfam family: Bacterial small subunit ribosomal RNA
Source: RNAcentral